This 417-nucleotide ribosomal RNA is filed under the name uncultured bacterium. Its description in RNAcentral is "bacterial SSU rRNA". It matches the Rfam family "Bacterial small subunit ribosomal RNA", at positions 97 to 513 of the family's 1533-position model. The record is from RNAcentral.
GGCGAACGGGUGCGUAACACGUGAGCAAUAUUCCGAUUUGUGGGGGAUAGCCUGGCCCAACGGCCGGGUAAUACCGCAUACGCUCACCGAGGGGAGUCCCUUGGUGAGGAAACCUCCGGGGCAAAUCGAGUAGCUCGCGGCCUAUCAGCUAGUUGGUGCGGGUAACGGCCCACCAAGGCGACGACGGGUAGCUGGUCUGAGAGGAUGGCCAGCCACAUUGGGACUGAGAAACGGCCCAGACUCCUACGGGAGGCAGCAGUGGGGAAUCUUGCGCAAUGGACGAAAGUCUGACGCAGCGACGCCGCGUGAGGGAGGAAGCUCUUCGGGGUGUAAACCUCUGUUGCCCGGAACGAAACUCAGGAUUCGUCCUGAUUGACGGUACCGGGUGAGGAAGCACCGGCUAACUCCGUGCCAGCA